This 704-nucleotide long non-coding RNA is filed under the name Malus domestica (apple). RNAcentral's name for it is "long non-coding RNA (MDOM_LNC015116)". The record is from RNAcentral. Lineage: Eukaryota; Viridiplantae; Streptophyta; Magnoliopsida; Rosales; Rosaceae.
CGAUAUGCAUUCUAUGAAACUUUUUUCAACGAUCCAACCGUCAAACUUAUUUGUACACACUCCGAGAUUGCAUACGUAAAAAAUGGUAAAAAAACAAACAUUCAGAGAUUACGUAACGGAACAAAAGUUUUCGACGGUUAUAAACAAAAAAUCAAAAUUUAACGGUUUAUUUUAGCUCCGAUUUUAAUGAUUUUUUACAGCUACACUCCUCGAUCCUAUAAGAAUGCAAUGAAUAAAUUUGAUCUUCAAUUUAAAAUAUUUACACUAGUGGAUACCACAAAAUCUUAUUUUAUACUUAAUGAAAGUAUAACAUUAACUCUUAAGUGUUUAUUUAAUCUACCAUUUUGACGCGAUACACAUUCUACGAAAUUUUUUUCAAUGAUUUAACCGUCAAACUUGUUGUACACACUCUGAGAUCGCAUACCUAAAAAAUCACAAAAAACAAAUAUUCAAAGAUUAUGUAACAGAACAAAAGUUUUCGACGGUUAUAAACGAAAAAUCAUAAUUUAACGGUUAUUUUAGCUCCGAUUUUGAUGAUUUUUUACGGCUACACUCCUCGACCCUAUAAGAAUGCAAUGAAUGAAUUUGAUCUUCAAUUUAAAAUAUUUAUACUAGUGGAUAAUCUUAUUUUAUAUUUAAUGGAAGUAUAAUGUUAACUCUAAGUGUUUGUUUAAUUUACCGUUUUGAUGUGAUACGCAUUAUAU